CUUGACUUGAGCAGUCCUUCCUAUGAACAGCUUCCGCUGCAUCUUAGUCUUUACUCUCAAGCUCAAAGUCUCAACAGCUUCGACUGGCUUCUGCAUUCGUCUCUUCGCUCGGUCUCAGGCUUCUUCCGUUCUCGAGUUCCCAAAGAAGAAAUUAGUCAAGAUUCAGCCUCUAGCCUUGGGUAAAAGUCACGUUCAUCUUACAGGGCAAAGGGCGUUUACUUGUACUUAUUCAUCUCCUUCGGCCCUGGAACGGAAGGACAAGAUCAGACGCAGUGCUCCUAUAUAACCCCCUGAAAUCUCCUUAUCUUUGUCGAAUUCCCAACACAAGCCCGAUUUGUUUCUGAGGACUCCUAUAAGGACAAGAGGUGAGGAUACCCGCAAAAACUUUGUUGACCAUUUGCACGAUGCUUUAAGGCGUAAAGGAAUUGUGGCCUUUAAAGAUGAUGACGACCGAGAUCUUCCAAGGGGAAAAUGUAUUAAAC
Long non-coding RNA from Eucalyptus grandis, 482 nucleotides. RefSeq lists it as uncharacterized. The record is from RefSeq and is a predicted model, not a curated record. The transcript has 4 exons. NCBI's taxonomy places the organism in Eukaryota, Viridiplantae, Streptophyta, Magnoliopsida, Myrtales, Myrtaceae.